CCUACGGGGGGCAGCAGUGGGGAAUAUUGCACAAUGGGCGCAAGCCUGAUGCAGCCAUGCCGCGUGUGUGAAGAAGGCCUUCGGGUUGUAAAGCACUUUCAGCGGGGAGGAAGGCGGUGAGGUUAAUAACCUCAUCGAUUGACGUUACCCGCAGAAGAAGCACCGGCUAACUCCGUGCCAGCAGCCGCGGUAGUACGGAGGGUGCAAGCGUUAAUCGGAAUUACUGGGCGUAAAGCGCACGCAGGCGGUCUGUCAAGUCGGAUGUGAAAUCCCCGGGCUCAACCUGGGAACUGCAUUCGAAACUGGCAGGCUAGAGUCUUGUAGAGGGGGGUAGAAUUCCAGGUGUAGCGGUGAAAUGCGUAGAGAUCUGGGGGAAUACCGGUGGCGAAGGCGGCCCCCUGGACAAAGACUGACGCUCAGGUGCGAAAGCGUGGGGAGCAAACAGGAUUAGAUACCCGAGUAGUC
RNAcentral lists this ribosomal RNA (465 nucleotides) under uncultured Klebsiella sp. RNAcentral's name for it is "bacterial SSU rRNA". It matches the Rfam family "Bacterial small subunit ribosomal RNA", at positions 338 to 795 of the family's 1533-position model. Lineage: Bacteria; Pseudomonadati; Pseudomonadota; Gammaproteobacteria; Enterobacterales; Enterobacteriaceae. The record is from RNAcentral.